UUCGGAUGACCUGUGGGUAGGGGUGAAAGGCCAAUCAAACUCCGUGAUAGCUGGUUCUCCCCGAAAUGCAUUUAGGUGCAGCGUUGCGUGUUGCUUGCCGGAGGUAGAGCUACUGGUUGGUUGAGCGGGACUACAAUCUUAGCAAUGUCAGCCAAACUCCGAAUGCCGGUAAGUGAGAGCGCAGCAGUGAGACGGUGGGGGAUAAGCUUCAUCGUCGAGAGGGAAACAACCCAGACUACCAACUAAGGUCCCUAAGCGUGUGCUAAGUGGGAAAGGAUGUGGAGUUGCAUAGACAACCAGGAGGUUGGCUUAGAAGCAGCCACCCUUGAAAGAGUGCGUAAUAGCUCACUGGUCAAGUGAUUCCGCGCCGACAAUGUAACGGGGCUCAAGCACACCACCGAAGUUGUAGAUUUCGUAUUAUAGACAAGCCUUCGUGGUUCAGUCGUACGGAGUGGUAGGAGAGCGUCGUGUGGCCAGUGAAGCGGCGGUGUAAACCAGCCGUGGAGGCCACACGAGUGAGAAUGCAGGCAUGAGUAGCGAAAGACGGGUGAGAAACCCGUCCUCCGAAAGACCAAGGGUUCCAGGGCCAGGUUAAUCCGCCCUGGGUAAGUCGGGACCUAAGGCGAGGCCGACAGGCGUAGUCGAUGGUUAACGGGUUGAUAUUCCCGUACCCGUAUAUGUGCGUCCAUGGUGAAUCAGUGAUACUAACCAUCCACAAGUCUUCCGCUGCUGUCUUUGAUGGUGGUGGUUGGGGCGUGCGUGGAGCCUGAUCUGGUAGUAGCUAAGUGAUGGGGUGACGCAGUGGGGUAGCUGAGCCACUUAUUGGAUUGUGGUGCAAGCGUGUAGGGCGAUCGGUAGGUAAAUCCGCCGGUCAUGAUGCCUGAGGCGUGAUGCGUAGCCCCUUUUUGGGGUGAUGUUGGUGAUCCCGUGCUGUCGAGAAAAGCCUCUAGCGAGUGCAUAUAUGGCCCGUACCCUAAACCGACACAGGUAGUCAGGUAGAGAAUACUAAGGCGUUCGGGUGAACUGUGGUUAAGGAACUCGGCAAAAUGCCCCCGUAACUUCGGGAGAAGGGGGGCCGGAACCGUGAUGGGAUUUACUCCCGGAGCGGGAAAGGCCGCAGAGACCAGUGGGAAGCGACUGUUUACUAAAAACACAGGUCCGUGCCAAGUCGCAAGACGAUGUAUACGGACUGACGCCUGCCCGGUGCUGGAAGGUUAAGAGGACCUGUUAGCUGUUAAAGGCGAAGCGGAGAAUUUAAGCCCCAGUAAACGGCGGUGGUAACUAUAACCAUCCUAAGGUAGCGAAAUUCCUUGUCGGGUAAGUUCCGACCUGCACGAAUGGCGUAACGACUUCCCAGCUGUCUCAACCGCGAACUCGGCGAAAUUGCACUACGAGUAAAGAUGCUCGUUACGCGCGGCAGGACGAAAAGACCCCGGGACCUUCACUAUAGCUUGGUAUUGGUGUUCGAUUCGGUUUGUGUAGGAUAGGUGGGAGACUGUGAAGCAUUGGCGCCAGCUGGUGUGGAGUCAUUGUUGAAAUACCACUCUGGUCACUUUGGAUAUCUAACUAGGAACCGUGAUCCGGUUCUGGGACAGUGCCUGGUGGGUAGUUUAACUGGGGCGGUUGCCUCCUAAAGAGUAACGGAGGCGCCCAAAGGUUCCCUCAGAAUGGUUGGAAAUCAUUCGUAGAGUGCAAAGGCAGAAGGGAGCUUGACUGCGAGACUUACAAGUCGAGCAGGGACGAAAGUCGGGACUAGUGAUCCGGCACCUACUUGUGGAAGUGGUGUCGCUCAACGGAUAAAAGGUAC
Molecule: ribosomal RNA, 1807 nt
Filed under: Schizochytrium aggregatum
Lineage: Eukaryota; Bigyra; Thraustochytrida; Thraustochytriidae
Description: partial Bacterial large subunit ribosomal RNA
Rfam family: Bacterial large subunit ribosomal RNA
Source: RNAcentral